RNAcentral lists this ribosomal RNA (481 nucleotides) under uncultured bacterium. Its description in RNAcentral is "partial 16S ribosomal RNA". It matches the Rfam family "Bacterial small subunit ribosomal RNA", at positions 28 to 507 of the family's 1533-position model. The record is from RNAcentral.
GAUGAACGCUGGCGGCGUGCCUAACACAUGCAAGUCGAACGGAGAUUACGGACGGAAGUUUUCGGAUGGAAGACUGUAAUUCUUAGUGGCGGACGGGUGAGUAACGCGUGGGCAACCUGCCCUAUACAGGGGGAUAGCAGCUGGAAGCGGCUGGUAAGACCGCAUAAGUCGGCGAGACCGCAUGGUUUUGCCGGGAAAUGAGCAAUCAGGUAUAGGAUGGGCCCGCGUCCGAUUAGCCAGUUGGCAGGGUAAAAGCCUACCAAAGCAACGAUCGGUAGCCGGACUGAGAGGUCGGACGGCCACAUUGGGACUGAGACACGGCCCAAACUCCUACGGGAGGCAGCAGUGGGGGAUAUUGCACAAUGGAGGAAACUCUGAUGCAGCGACGCCGCGUGAGUGAAGAAGUAUUUCGGUAUGUAAAGCUCUAUCAGCAGGGAAGAUGAUGACGGUACCUGACUAAGAAGCCCCGGCUAACUACGUG